CCACCUUAGACAAAGGCUGCUCUCAGGGCCUCACCGCACCUAGGAGCAGGCUUUGAAGGAUCUGCCAAGCUCACUUUUAAUCACGGGAAAAAAAAUUAUCCACAUGGAGUCAGCAGAAAAUGAGAAAGUAGAACUCACGCUGCGAGUAAUUCUAGCAAGUGCCAAGGGGCUAGUUGAGGAAUGGCUUCAUGAGG
Erinaceus europaeus (western European hedgehog) is the source of this 194-nucleotide non-coding RNA. NCBI's taxonomy places the organism in Eukaryota, Metazoa, Chordata, Mammalia, Eulipotyphla, Erinaceidae. The record is from Rfam.